UACAGCCGCCGCCCCUCCACUCUCCUCUUCUCCAGCGAGAUCGAUGGAGCAGCAAGCUCCACCGGCGAGCAACCAGGCGAGAGCGACAGCAGCACUAUGGAGACGACAUGAACACCAACAACAACAACCAGCAACCGGCGAGAUAGCAAACAACAGCCAGCGAGGAGGACAACCUCCGAUUGGCGAGAGUUCCUCGCGAAGGCAGCAGCUACCGGCGAGAACAACCAGCAGUCGGCGCUGAUCCGUUUCCCUCCGUUCUCCGUUUUCUUUCGAGCUAGUAGUAACUCCGACGAGGAUGACAACAACAACAUCAACCAGCGAAACUCCAUGAGAACGAUAGCUCCGGCCAGCGACUCAGCAAACAAGCAACAUGAAAUAUGAUAAUGGAGUUUACUCAGAGCUCGAUAUUUUGGUUGGUUUUAAGACGGAUCUCAACAGAUCCGUUCAGGCUUUGGAGAUAUUGGAUGCUAUCCUUGUGGCUGGGACUCUUGUCGAUCAAGAAGAAGAAGAUUUGUGGUGGUGGCUAAAAGGCCUUUCCUAGAAGUGAAGAGCUUGGCUUACUAUUCCCAAGUU
Molecule: long non-coding RNA, 573 nt
Organism: Solanum stenotomum
Lineage: Eukaryota; Viridiplantae; Streptophyta; Magnoliopsida; Solanales; Solanaceae
Exons: 3
Source: RefSeq, a predicted model, not a curated record